CGGAGGGUGCGAGCGUUAUCCGGAAUUACUGGGUUUAAAGGGUGCGUAGGCGGCUUUGUAAGUCAGGAGUGAAAGUUUGCGGCUCAACCGUAAAAUUGCUUUUGAUACUGCGAGGCUGGAAUCAGGAUGAGGUCAGCGGAAUGUGGCAUGUAGCGGUGAAAUGCAUAGAUAUGCCAUAGAACACCUAUUGCGAAGGCAGCUGGCUAGACCUGUAUUGACGCUGAGGCACGAAAGCGUGGGGAGCGAACAGGAUUAGAUACCCUGGUAGUCCACGCCCUAAACGAUGCUUACUCGACGUGCGAGACUAGAUCUGGUGCGUCCAAGGGAAACCGUUAAGUAAGCCACCUGGGGAGUACGACCGCAAGGUUG
This 369-nucleotide ribosomal RNA is filed under the name uncultured organism. RNAcentral describes it as "bacterial SSU rRNA". It matches the Rfam family "Bacterial small subunit ribosomal RNA", at positions 526 to 896 of the family's 1533-position model. The record is from RNAcentral.